CAAUAUUAUUUACAGGAUUGUAUUUUUAUGUAGAGAUAGUUGAACUUUAUGCUUCUAGGGUUCUAAUUGAAUUAUAUCAUUUGAUUCGAUGCAGAUUCAAUAUGAAAUGUUGAUUAUUGCUGGAUUUGGGUCAAGUUCCUAUACACAAGAAGCAUUUGAAUACGAUUUUAUGAAUUUCUGCUCUUGGAUAUAAGAAAAUCGGAAACGAGGGGUGCUGAUGAAUUUCUCAAUUCGGUAAAUAAUAAAAAUGACUAUGACUGGUAUGUCGUACCUCUCAAUUCCCAUGAUCCAUAUAUUUUGUUCAUCAUGUUUAUCUUUACAGUAUUUUUUAGAAACAUGAUUGAUGGAGGUUUGGUGCUUUUGGUUGGACAUACAACGAUAGAUUUAUAGGUUAUGGUUCCUAGAGCAUUUUCUCAUGUAAAAGUCAUGGUUUGGUUGACGGUAGUAGAUGUUUAUUGAACACUGAAGUUGUCUUUAUGAAAUAAAGCAUUUUUUUCUCUUGUUCUGGUUCUUAGCUCCACGGGCUUCAUUUUAUAACUUGAAAUAUUAUUAUGUUAGUAUCUGAUAAUGUAUUUUAAACACAAGCACCAUUCUCCCAUUGAUCAUACUCACUAUAUCAUUCCUAAUGUUAUUUGCUUCUAUUUCCAUAUUAAACUAGUUGAUGUUUCAUAUAUAUAUAUGCAAAGAACAUGCAACACGAAUACCUAAAAUUAUCAUUACUAUUUGCUUCUCUUGUUCUGGUUUUUUUUUUUGUCUGCUACUAUUUGUGUGACUAGCAUGUGUUCCAAGUUAUUUUUUUUUAUGAGAAUCGCGGAGCGGUAAGAACAAAACAAGAGCCGAUGGUGGAUAUGGUGGAAAGACGCCACAAUCGGGGUGGGAAAACCGAUUGAUAAGUCGCGAGGACGCCACAACCGGCUAUGGAGGCUCCGGUUGACAAGUCAAAGGUUAGCACCACGGCAAGCCGAUAAGCUAAAAAUAGGGUUCAGAGAACCAAAGAGAAUAAAUCCCAUAUUUUUACUCAAUCCAAAAACUUCCUUUAUUUCAUAGAAGAACUUACAAUGUAUAGAGCUUCUUGCUAAGUAGCUCAAUAGUCCUAAUUAAUUCAAAUAAAACUUAUAAAUUAAAUUUAAUUAAAAAUAAAACAAAUAAAUGGCAUAUUAGCCUUACAAUUAUUUUUCUAAAAGAAACCACUUGUCCACGUGAGCUGCUUGAUCUUCUCAAAUUGCAAUGGAUGAUAAUUAAUGCCAUGAGAUAAGAUUGUGAGUUGCUCCAAGUAAAUGUGAUGAACCAAUUACUAUUAGCAAACGUAGAAAUAAUUGAUAUGAGUGGCUAUUGGCAACUUAUGAUAAUUAACUCUCCACUUAAUGUAUCAAAGAACCAAAAAGGCAUAAAAUAAUAGGCAAUGAAUUUUCAAGGCUAGUAAUAUUUUUAACAUGAAUUUGAACCAAUAUUGAAAUUAAUUGGUUCUUUUUAUUCCAAUAUUGAAUCAAUUCUUCUUGUAAGAGGAGAUCAUAUUAGGAUCACAUCAUUUUGACCAAUGUGAAUGCCCCUGUAUCUCAUUUCCAGUUUUCCACCAUUUUGCAGCAAUACCUUGAUAUUGCAAAAAGAUAUGAUCUCAUCCUGUGUCUCUUGCUAUAGGUUUGAUUUUCCUUUAUCUAUAUCAUGUGUGCAAACCAUGCUUUCCCCGAACUGGAGAUUACAAAUUACUAAUAAUAAUUACACUAAAAAGUGUACACGUGGAGAUAAAAUGACCAACACAUCACUGAAAAGUACUCCACAUAUUUUCCAAAUCCAUGUCCCAUGUUAAAUUACUAACUUUUAAUUCAACAAAAAGUACAUUUUUUAGCUAGAUUGAUGCCAAACUACUUAAAGUCUGCAUAGGAGACUCAGACUUGAGCAUGGCAUAGGGCUAAACUAUUCUAUACGAUAUAUAAUCUUAAUUGCAAUCAUAGUUUUCGACGUCUGUUCCAUUUCUUGCAUUUGGACGAGACUACUCACAUGAUUUGAUGUCUGAAGAUUGCUUGUGUGUAAAAUGCUUGUGAGUGCCUAAGUUGAACUAGUAGCAGUACUUUUAGUUUGCUCCAAACAUACUUCCAUGAUUUGAGUAUUUAUAACGAAUCAGUAUAUUGAGAAAGUGAAUAAAACAUCAAUGUUGGUUUCCAUACAUCUUAAGUGAUUAAAAAAUUCAUAUCUAACUGAAACAUCAAUGUUGAUUGAGAAAGUGAUUAAGAAACUCUGUUCCAUUUGCAAAAGGCAGCAGAUUUAGAAAUUGAGGCUUACCUGUUGCUGGAUGAACUGACAUUGAAGAUCAGUACUCUAUAUAGUGUAUUGUUUCAAGUCAAAGUUUAUAUAGUACUAAUCUAGUGUAUUGCUUCUUUCAAUUUUAUAGGAUAUAUUCCUUGUUGUAAUUGUUACAUUUUCUUGCAUCUUUAUCAAUUGCUUGUAAUAACAACAUAAAAGUUUGAUUUAUGCAGGUCUUCUUCUUUGGAACUAAAUGAGGCAUCAUUGGGUUGGAAAUAAAAGGUCCAAGCGCUCUCGGAUGAAUGUUUAUCAACACAUGAUCAAUCAUGGCUUUCUAAAAGGUUACAUUCGUUGGAUCUUUCAUGAAUUCCAUGAAUAUCCCACAUGGCAUCUUGCAUGAAUUUUGGCUUUUACUUCAUGAUGAUGACAUGUAUAAUCCUAUGCUACAGAAGAAGCCACCCUCUAAUCAGGUUCCAAAUGCCUCUAUCUAGUGCCCCUUGCCAAACGAAUCAUCUUAAUCCAGACACUAAUGAAGAUGAUGGCACUUAUGAACAUGAACAAGAGGAAGAUUAGAAGCAUUUUUGUCUUGGAGUAAAAUUGAAACUCAAGUGGAUAAGAUCCAAGAUUUUUGUAAUUUUUUAGAAUUUUUUAUGACUUUACAUUUUCUUUUAAAUAUUACCUGAUACUUUUAGUACUUUUUUUUAGUUUUACAUGUUUGUAAGACUUGGUGAUAAAUGUUUAAAUAUGAUUGAAGGGUUCAUUUGAUUUUGUUUCAUAAA
Molecule: long non-coding RNA, 3020 nt
Organism: Trifolium pratense (red clover)
Lineage: Eukaryota; Viridiplantae; Streptophyta; Magnoliopsida; Fabales; Fabaceae
Exons: 4
Source: RefSeq, a predicted model, not a curated record